RNAcentral lists this ribosomal RNA (1372 nucleotides) under uncultured bacterium. Its description in RNAcentral is "bacterial SSU rRNA". It matches the Rfam family "Bacterial small subunit ribosomal RNA", at positions 28 to 1381 of the family's 1533-position model. The record is from RNAcentral.
GAUGAACGCUGGCGGCGUGCCUAAUACAUGCAAGUCGAGCGAACGGACGAGAAGCUUGCUUCUCUGAUGUUAGCGGCGGACGGGUGAGUAACACGUGGAUAACCUACCUAUAAGACUGGGAUAACUUCGGGAAACCGGAGCUAAUACCGGAUAAUAUUUUGAACCGCAUGGUUCAAAAGUGGAAGACGGUCUUGCUGUCACUUAUAGAUGGAUCCGCGCUGCAUUAGCUAGUUGGUAAGGUAACGGCUUACCAAGGCAACGAUGCAUAGCCGACCUGAGAGGGUGAUCGGCCACACUGGAACUGAGACACGGUCCAGACUCCUACGGGAGGCAGCAGUAGGGAAUCUUCCGCAAUGGGCGAAAGCCUGACGGAGCAACGCCGCGUGAGUGAUGAAGGUCUUCGGAUCGUAAAACUCUGUUAUUAGGGAAGAACAUAUGUGUAAGUAACUGUGCACAUCUUGAUGGUACCUAAUCAGAAAGCCACGGCUAACUACGUGCCAGCAGCCGCGGUAAUACGUAGGUGGCAAGCGUUAUCCGGAAUUAUUGGGCGUAAAGCGCGCGUAGGCGGUUUUUUAAGUCUGAUGUGAAAGCCCACGGCUCAACCGUGGAGGGUCAUUGGAAACUGGAAAACUUGAGUGCAGAAGAGGAAAGUGGAAUUCCAUGUGUAGCGGUGAAAUGCGCAGAGAUAUGGAGGAACACCAGUGGCGAAGGCGACUUUCUGGUCUGUAACUGACGCUGAUGUGCGAAAGCGUGGGGAUCAAACAGGAUUAGAUACCCUGGUAGUCCACGCCGUAAACGAUGAGUGCUAAGUGUUAGGGGGUUUCCGCCCCUUAGUGCUGCAGCUAACGCAUUAAGCACUCCGCCUGGGGAGUACGACCGCAAGGUUGAAACUCAAAGGAAUUGACGGGGACCCGCACAAGCGGUGGGGCAUGUGGUUUAAUUCGAAGCAACGCGAAGAACCUUACCAAAUCUUGACAUCCUUUGACAACUCUAGAGAUAGAGCUUUCCCCUUCGGGGGACAAAGUGACAGGUGGUGCAUGGUUGUCGUCAGCUCGUGUCGUGAGAUGUUGGGUUAAGUCCCGCAACGAGCGCAACCCUUAAGCUUAGUUGCCAUCAUUAAGUUGGGCACUCUAAGUUGACUGCCGGUGACAAACCGGAGGAAGGUGGGGAUGACGUCAAAUCAUCAUGCCCCUUAUGAUUUGGGCUACACACGUGCUACAAUGGACAAUACAAAGGGCAGCGAAACCGCGAGGUCAAGCAAAUCCCAUAAAGUUGUUCUCAGUUCGGAUUGUAGUCUGCAACUCGACUACAUGAAGCUGGAAUCGCUAGUAAUCGUAGAUCAGCAUGCUACGGUGAAUACGUUCCCGGGUCU